AACGAACGCUGGCGGCAUGCCUAACACAUGCAAGUCGAACGAAACCUUCGGGUUUUGUUGCGCACGGGUGCGUAACGCGGGGGAACCUGCCCUUAGGUUCCGUAUAACUCCCCGACAGGGGUGCUAAUACCGGAUGGUGUCUUCGGACCAAAGAUUUAUGGCCUUUGGAUGGGCCCGCGUUGGAUUAGCUGGUUGGUAGGGUAAUAGCCUACCAAGGCGAGGAUCCAUAGCUGGUCUGAGAGGAUGAUCAGCCACACUGGGACUGAGACACGGCCCAGACUCCGACGGGAGGCAGCAGUGGGGAAUAUUGGAGGAGGGGCGAAGGCCUGAUCCAGCAGUGCCGCGUGAGUGAUGAUGGCCUUAGGGUUGUAAAGCUCUUUUACCCGGGAUGAUAAUGACGGUACCGGGAGAAUAAGCUCCGGCUAACUACGUG
This 433-nucleotide ribosomal RNA is filed under the name uncultured bacterium. Its description in RNAcentral is "partial 16S ribosomal RNA". It matches the Rfam family "Bacterial small subunit ribosomal RNA", at positions 29 to 507 of the family's 1533-position model. The record is from RNAcentral.